UACAAAACUAUAAGUAAACAUAAGUGGAAUAUAAAUAAUUUAGAUAUCUAACACGCCUUGAAAAGCCUUAGAUAAGUUUGAAAAUUGAUAUGGAUCAAGCAAGAUGAGAUAAUUUGUAGAUUAAAUCAUUAUGUUUGAAUCGACAUGUAUAUGGUGAAAGCGUGAACUUAUAAGGGUGCCUGGUUCUUCUCUCAGGAGCAUAGAUUAAUGCUCUCAAGAAUUUUAAGACAGUGAAUCUGUUUAUUGAAUAUUGUGAUUGUAAAUUAGAUCUGACUUUUGACAUUGACCUCCCGUCGUGUAUACGCAUGUCUCGCACCAGGAGCAUCGGAUGAAGAAAUGUGCGUAUGGUUGGACCAUUUGAACGCUAGAGGCGGUAUUUUGUGGGAAGUACUUUUGGCUGAAUUUAUCUCAUACUUACAAUUCAUUCAGGUCUGUUCCAGCUGUAAGGUCAUCAGAAUUUAUUUGUCUCCAAUAGUUGUUUGUUUUUUCAACAAUGAAUUCUACCAGUUUUUCAGAUACAAACAACUGGAAGUAUUGCAGAAAUCCCCAGGAUCUUAUUUGUUUGAAUACCCGAUUGUUUUAUAAAAUCAUGAAUUAUUGGCCUAAAUUUUUUCGAAGUUCAUGUAAUAUCUGACUGAUUGGUACUUCGUACGUUAACAUUAUCAAUUUCUUCAGAUUCUGAUGUACUCAGUACAUUUAAUAGCCGUUUUCUUCGAUUUACUGUAUUUAUAUAUGAUUCAUUUUCAUCACAACUUUUCGAAGCAGUCUCGUUCACCGGUUGCCGCUUUUUUAGAUUUUUAUACUUAAUUUUAAAGAGUGCUAAAACCUACAUCACUUACUAAUAUUUGAAAUGGAUAGGUGGAAUUAAAGAUCCUCUGGACGUAACAACUUAAUAACCUGAUUCACUUAUUUUUCUGAACUUCUUAUGCGCUAGUUUAAUGCAAUUAAGAUAUCUAUUCGCGUAUCCUUACUGUCACUAGCCAAUACGACGCGUUUAGUGAAUACAGGCUAUAUCCGGCGUAAGUCGAUGUGAAGUAUUUUGUUAAUGCCGGAUAUAACCGGCGUUAGGCGUGAAAGGGUUAAAAAUAAAGAAUUUUGAAAUGUUACGUGGAA
Long non-coding RNA from Bombus terrestris (buff-tailed bumblebee), 1113 nucleotides. RefSeq lists it as uncharacterized. The transcript is spliced from 2 exons. Lineage: Eukaryota; Metazoa; Arthropoda; Insecta; Hymenoptera; Apidae. The record is from RefSeq and is a predicted model, not a curated record.